AGCAAACCACACCAGUCAUGAACCCACAGUGCUGCGUGCAUUGGGCCAGGAAUGAAAACAGCUACACCAUGGUAACCAUCCGUCAUUCUGUCCAUCUGCUGCCCUAGAGGGAUCUUAAAAUAGUUUCAAUUCACCUUUAAAAUCUGUGGCUCUAUGAAGGGCUUGUAACGCUUGGCAGCCCUGGAAGGCUGCCUGAGAAACAGGACUGCUAUUCGGACUACUGGGUCCAGCUGUAUGUCUCUUCGGAGGGAAACAAGCCAUCCAUUCAUCAGGCCCUUGUGAAAUUUUCCUUCCCUGCCAGCCCUGCAGCCAAGGAGGAGAAUACCUGGAGGAAUGGCUUCUGGAAUUCUGUUCUUUCUAACACGAGAGCUGCCAAAUUUAAUAGGAAGUUUAAUGAUAUUGCCAAAGGGUUAUGUCAUGGUCAGAAAUAGGAGUGCUAUUUUGUGGCAGCAGAAGCGGAGAUUCAGAUUCAACCAACACUGAUGGCAAAUAACUAUUAUGGGUUUGGAUUAUGCCCAUAGGGAAAUCUGGAUUUCUGGCUUCUCUCAAAGCAAGGCAAUGUUAUUCUGGAGCUGAGUAUGGCUGCCCCCUCAGAGAGGCCAGUUCUCUCUGUUUUGUCACAGACCCUAAAUGCUGGCCCACCAUUUUCACCUAAGCUGUUCUCCUAAUGGAGCCUGUUCUGCUGAGAGUGUCAGGAGGGCCUGGUACCCCUUUUAUCUUGGUACUUCCACAGCUCAGCACCUGGGGAAACACAGCACCCUCUGUACAUGUUCAUUGAGUGAAUGAGAGAAACCAACAGGAGGAAGAGGGUGUUGUCAGACCCGAAGAAGGCUUGGCUGUGCCUGGGAGUGCAGACACAGCCAAGUGGAGACAAAGGCAAUAUGUGAGUGAGCUUAAUAGAAAAUUCUCGAGAGACCCAUGAAUGCCAGGGCUAGCCUCACAUCUGGGAUUUUUCAGCUCCCACUGGAGUCUAUAAAUUCCAGUGUUUAGCUUUGUGGUUCAGUUGCCUUUUUGGAAUGAUAGUGCUGGCCAUGUCCUGUUUUUCUGCCCCGUCCUUUAAUUAAUAAAUACAUUUUGGCAAAGGGAA
Molecule: long non-coding RNA, 1087 nt
Organism: Camelus dromedarius (Arabian camel)
Lineage: Eukaryota; Metazoa; Chordata; Mammalia; Artiodactyla; Camelidae
Exons: 4
Source: RefSeq, a predicted model, not a curated record